RNAcentral lists this ribosomal RNA (490 nucleotides) under uncultured bacterium. Its description in RNAcentral is "partial 16S ribosomal RNA". It matches the Rfam family "Bacterial small subunit ribosomal RNA", at positions 29 to 506 of the family's 1533-position model. The record is from RNAcentral.
AGUGAACGCUGGCGGUAGGCCUAACACAUGCAAGUCGAACGGCAGCACAGUAAGAGCUUGCUCUUACGGGUGGCGAGUGGCGGACGGGUGAGGAAUACAUCGGAAUCUACUUUUUCGUGGGGGAUAACGUAGGGAAACUUACGCUAAUACCGCAUACGACCUACGGGUGAAAGCAGGGGAUCUUCGGACCUUGCGCGAUUGAAUGAGCCGAUGUCGGAUUAGCUAGUUGGCGGGGAAAGGCCCACCAAGGCGACGAUCCGUAGCUGGUCUGAGAGGAUGAUCAGCCACACUGGAACUGAGACACGGUCCAGACUCCUACGGGAGGCAGCAGUGGGGAAUAUUGGACAAUGGGCGCAAGCCUGAUCCAGCCAUACCGCGUGGGUGAAGAAGGCCUUCGGGUUGUAAAGCCCUUUUGUUGGGAAAGAAAAGCAGCAGGUUAAUACCCCGCUGUUCUGACGGUACCCAAAGAAUAAGCACCGGCUAACUUCGU